AGUGAACGCUGGCGGUAGGCCUAACACAUGCAAGUCGAACGGCAGCACAGUAAGAGCUUGCUCUUACGGGUGGCGAGUGGCGGACGGGUGAGGAAUACAUCGGAAUCUACUUUUUCGUGGGGGAUAACGUAGGGAAACUUACGCUAAUACCGCAUACGACCUACGGGUGAAAGCAGGGGAUCUUCGGACCUUGCGCGAUUGAAUGCGCCGAUGUCGGAUUAGCUAGUUGGCGGGGUAAAGGCCCACCAAGGCGACGAUCCGUAGCUGGUCUGAGAGGGUGAUCAGCCACACUGGAACUGAGACACGGUCCAGACUCCUACGGGAGGCAGCAGUGGGGAAUAUUGGACAAUGGGCGCAAGCCUGAUCCAGCCAUACCGCGUGGGUGAAGAAGGCCUUCGGGUUGUAAAGCCCUUUUGUUGGGAAAGAAAAGCAGCAGGUUAAUACCCCGCUGUUCUGACGGUACCCAAAGAAUAAGCACCGGCUAACUUCGUG
RNAcentral lists this ribosomal RNA (492 nucleotides) under uncultured bacterium. Its description in RNAcentral is "partial 16S ribosomal RNA". It matches the Rfam family "Bacterial small subunit ribosomal RNA", at positions 29 to 507 of the family's 1533-position model. The record is from RNAcentral.